This 253-nucleotide ribosomal RNA is filed under the name uncultured bacterium. RNAcentral describes it as "partial 16S ribosomal RNA". It matches the Rfam family "Bacterial small subunit ribosomal RNA", at positions 102 to 353 of the family's 1533-position model. The record is from RNAcentral.
ACGGGUGAGUAACGCGUGGGUAACCUGCCUUAUACAGGGGGAUAACAGUCAGAAAUGGCUGCUAAUACCGCAUAAGCGCACAGAGCUGCAUGGCUCAGUAUGAAAAACUCCGGUGGUAUAAGAUGGACCCGCGUUGGAUUAGCUAGUUGGUGGGGUAACGGCCCACCAAGGCGACGAUCCAUAGCCGGCCUGAGAGGGUGAACGGCCACAUUGGGACUGAGACACGGCCCAGACUCCUACGGGAGGCAGCAUG